RNAcentral lists this ribosomal RNA (497 nucleotides) under uncultured bacterium. Its description in RNAcentral is "partial 16S ribosomal RNA". It matches the Rfam family "Bacterial small subunit ribosomal RNA", at positions 28 to 507 of the family's 1533-position model. The record is from RNAcentral.
GAUGAACGCUGGCGGCGUGCCUAAUACAUGCAAGUCGAGCGAACAGACGAGGAGCUUUCUCCUCUGACGUUAGCGGCGGACGGGUGAGUAACACGUGGAUAACCUACCUAUAAGACUUGGAUAACUUCGGGAAACCGGAUCUAAUACCGGAUAAUAUAUUGAACCGCAUGGUUCAAUAGUGAAAGACGGUUUUGCUGUCACUUAUAGAUGGAUCCGCGCCGCAUUAGCUAGUUGGUAAGGUAACGGCUUACCAAGGCAACGAUGCGUAGCCGACCUGAGAGGGUGAUCGGCCCAACUGGAACUGAGACACGGUCCAGACUCCUACGGGAGGCAGCAGUAGGGAAUCUUCCGCAAUGGGCGAAAGCCUGACGGAGCAACGCCGCGUGAGUGAUGAAGGUCUUCGGAUCGUAAAACUCUGUUAUUAGGGAAGAACAAAUGUGUAAGUAACUAUGCACGUCUUGACGGUACCUAAUCAGAAAGCCACGGCUAACUACGUG